AGCCUGUGAUGACACAUUUUUUAAAACAUUUUUUCUGACACCUACUAUGACAGCUGAACUACAGCUUGUGAUUCUAACUUAUCCUGAGGCUA
This is a small nucleolar RNA of Dunckerocampus dactyliophorus (ringed pipefish), 92 nucleotides long. RefSeq annotates it as small nucleolar RNA SNORD60. The transcript has a single exon. The record is from RefSeq and is a predicted model, not a curated record. NCBI's taxonomy places the organism in Eukaryota, Metazoa, Chordata, Actinopteri, Syngnathiformes, Syngnathidae.